Molecule: transfer RNA, 76 nt
Filed under: Mycoplasmopsis citelli
Lineage: Bacteria; Bacillati; Mycoplasmatota; Mycoplasmoidales; Metamycoplasmataceae
Description: tRNA-Ile
Rfam family: tRNA
About the family: Transfer RNA (tRNA) molecules are approximately 80 nucleotides in length. Their secondary structure includes four short double-helical elements and three loops (D, anti-codon, and T loops).
Source: RNAcentral
AGACUCAUAGCUCAAUGGUUAGAGCAACCAGCUCAUAACUGGUCAAAUACAGGUUCAAAUCCUGUUGGGUCUACCA